This is a ribosomal RNA of Danio rerio (zebrafish), 117 nucleotides long. NCBI's taxonomy places the organism in Eukaryota, Metazoa, Chordata, Actinopteri, Cypriniformes, Danionidae. The record is from Ensembl.
GAUAACAGCCAUAUCACCUUGCAGCCCAAAACCGGUUACUUCAUGAAGAUAAGCAGGGCUGAGCCUGGCCAGUACCUGGCUGGGAGACCACAUGGCAAACAUAGGUUGCUGUUGGAA